RNAcentral lists this ribosomal RNA (253 nucleotides) under uncultured bacterium. RNAcentral's name for it is "partial 16S ribosomal RNA". It matches the Rfam family "Bacterial small subunit ribosomal RNA", at positions 524 to 776 of the family's 1533-position model. The record is from RNAcentral. RNAcentral also lists the same sequence under 1 other name.
UACAGAGGUCCCAAGCGUUGUUCGGAUUCACUGGGCGUAAAGGGUGCGCAGGUGGGCUGGUAAGUUCGAUGUGAAAGCCCCGGGCUUAACCCGGGAAUGGCAUUGGAUACUACUGGUCUGGAGGAUCGGAGGGGGGACUGGAAUUCUUGGUGUAGCAGUGAAAUGCGUAGAUAUCAAGAGGAACACCAGUGGCGAAGGCGAGUCCCUGGACGAUACCUGACACUGAGGCACGAAAGCCAAGGGAGCAAACAGG